Molecule: ribosomal RNA, 398 nt
Filed under: uncultured bacterium
Lineage: Bacteria
Description: partial 16S ribosomal RNA
Rfam family: Bacterial small subunit ribosomal RNA
Source: RNAcentral
AUACGUAGGGUGCGAGCGUUGUCCGGAAUUACUGGGCGUAAAGAGCUCGUAGGUGGUUUGUCGCGUCGUCUGUGAAAUUCCGGGGCUUAACUCCGGGCGUGCAGGCGAUACGGGCAUAACUUGAGUACUGUAGGGGAGACUGGAAUUCCUGGUGUAGCGGUGAAAUGCGCAGAUAUCAGGAGGAACACCGGUGGCGAAGGCGGGUCUCUGGGCAGUAACUGACGCUGAGGAGCGAAAGCAUGGGUAGCGUACAGGAUUAGAUACCCUGGUAGUCCAUGCCGUAAACGGUGGGCGCUAGGUGUAGGGGUCUUCCACGACUUCUGUGCCGUAGCUAACGCAUUAAGCGCCCCGCCUGGGGAGUACGGCCGCAAGGCUAAAACUCAAAUGAAUUGACGGGG